UACAGAGGGUGCAAGCGUUAAUCGGAAUUACUGGGCGUAAAGGGCGCGUAGGCGGUUGUGCGAGUGUGGUGUGAAAGCCCCGGGCUUAACCUGGGAAGCGCAUCGCAAACGGCAUGACUGGAGUAGAUGAGAGGGUGGCGGAAUUUCCGGUGUAGCGGUGAAAUGCGUAGAUAUCGUGAGGAACACCAGAGGCGAAGGCGGCUACCUAGACGAAUUGCUGACGCUCAGGCACGAAAGCGUGGGAGCAAGCAGG
This 253-nucleotide ribosomal RNA is filed under the name uncultured bacterium. RNAcentral's name for it is "partial 16S ribosomal RNA". It matches the Rfam family "Bacterial small subunit ribosomal RNA", at positions 524 to 776 of the family's 1533-position model. The record is from RNAcentral.